Molecule: ribosomal RNA, 225 nt
Filed under: uncultured bacterium
Lineage: Bacteria
Description: partial 16S ribosomal RNA
Rfam family: Bacterial small subunit ribosomal RNA
Source: RNAcentral
ACGCUCGACACCUACGGGGGCAGCAGUAGGGAAUCUUCCACAAUGGACGCAAGUCUGAUGGAGCAACGCCGCGUGAGUGAAGAAGGUCUUCGGAUCGUAAAACUCUGUUGUUAGAGAAGAACACGAGUGAGAGUAACUGUUCAUUCGAUGACGGUAUCUAACCAGCAAGUCACGGCUAACUACGUGCCAGCAGCCGCGGUAAUCUGAGGCGGGCGUGGACGAGGC